This 496-nucleotide ribosomal RNA is filed under the name uncultured bacterium. Its description in RNAcentral is "partial 16S ribosomal RNA". It matches the Rfam family "Bacterial small subunit ribosomal RNA", at positions 28 to 507 of the family's 1533-position model. The record is from RNAcentral.
GACGAACGCUGGCGGCGUGCUUAACACAUGCAAGUCGAACGGUGAAGGGACCGGUUUUUGCUGGUUCUGUUUGAGGGGCGCACGGGUGAGUAACACGUGAGUAACCUCCACCCUUCUUCUGGAUAACCGCAUGAAAGUGUCGCUAAUACGGUAUAAUCUUCGCCUGCUGCAUGCAGGGGUGGGGGAAGAUCUUGUUGUGGCUGAGGGUUGGAUCGCGGCCUCUUAGGUUGUUGGUUGGGUUAUGGCCUACCAAGGCCGCGAUGGGUAGCCGGCCUGAGAGGGUGGUCGGCGACACUGGAGGGGAGACACGGUCCAGACUCCUACGGGAGGCAGCAGUAGGGAAUCUUCCGCAAUGGGCGAAAGCCUGACGGAGCAACGCCGCGUGGGGGAUGAAGGUCUUCGGAUCGUAAAACUCUGUUAUUAGGGAAGAACAUAUGUGUAAGUAACUGUGCACAUCUUGACGGUACCUAAUCAGAAAGCCACGGCUAACUACGUG